This 72-nucleotide transfer RNA is filed under the name Nanobdellota archaeon. RNAcentral's name for it is "tRNA-Glu". It matches the Rfam family "tRNA". From Rfam's summary of the family: Transfer RNA (tRNA) molecules are approximately 80 nucleotides in length. Lineage: Archaea; Nanobdellati; Nanobdellota. The record is from RNAcentral.
GCCCCCGUAGUGUAGCGGCAAGCACAUAAGCUUCUCGAGCUUAUAACCCGGGUUCGAGUCCCGGCGGGGGCA